AACGGGGAGAGAUCAACAGGGAUUGCCCCAGUAACGGCGAGUGAAGCGGCAACAGCUCAAAUUUGAAAUCUGGCUCCUAGAGCCCGAGUUGUAAUUUGUAGAGGAUGCUUUUGAUGCGGUGCCUUCCGAGUUCCCUGGAACGGGACGCCAUAGAGGGUGAGAGCCCCGUCUGGUCGGAUGCCAAAUCUCUGUAAAGCUCCUUCGACGAGUCGAGUAGUUUGGGAAUGCUGCUCAAAAUGGGAGGUAUAUGUCUUCUAAAGCUAAAUACCGGCCAGAGACCGAUAGCGCACAAGUAGAGUGAUCGAAAGAUGAAAAGCACUUUGAAAAGAGGGUUAAAUAGUACGUGAAAUUGUUGAAAGGGAAGCGCCUAUGACCAGACUUGGGCCCGGUGAAUCAUCCAGCGUUCUCGCUGGUGCACUUUGCCGGGCACAGGCCAGCAUCAGUUUGUCUUGGGGGAAAAAGGCUUUGGGAACGUGGCUCCUUCGGGAGUGUUAUAGACCAUUGCAUAAUACCCUGAGAUGGACUGAGGUUCGCGCAUCUGCAAGGAUGCUGGCGUAAUGGUCAUCAGCGACCCGUCUUGAAACACGGACCAAGGAGUCGUCUUCGUAUGCGAGUGUUCGGGUGUAAAACCCCUACGCGUAAUGAAAGUGAACGCAGGUGAGAGCUUCGGCGCAUCAUCGACCGAUCCUGAUGUUCUCGGAUGGAUUUGAGUAAGAGCAUACGGGGCCGGACCCGAAAGAAGGUGAACUAUUCCUGUAUAGGGUGAAGCCAGAGGAAACUCUGGUGGAGGCUCGCAGCGGUUCUGACGUGCGAAUCGAUCGUCAAAUAUGGGAAUGGGGGCGAAAGACUAAUCGAACCUUCUAGUAGCUGGUUUCCGCCGAAUUUU
RNAcentral lists this ribosomal RNA (886 nucleotides) under Simplicillium sp. RNAcentral describes it as "partial large subunit ribosomal RNA". It matches the Rfam family "Eukaryotic large subunit ribosomal RNA", at positions 53 to 969 of the family's 3401-position model. The record is from RNAcentral. Lineage: Eukaryota; Fungi; Ascomycota; Sordariomycetes; Hypocreales; Cordycipitaceae.